This 1329-nucleotide long non-coding RNA is filed under the name Homo sapiens (human). RNAcentral describes it as "long intergenic non-protein coding RNA 2395". Lineage: Eukaryota; Metazoa; Chordata; Mammalia; Primates; Hominidae. The record is from RNAcentral.
GACAUUCUAGAAUGUCAGGUACAACAGAGACAGCUGUUUGUCCCCCAGUAUCCUUCAGACAAAGCCAUAUAUGAUUGAAGGUUAUCAGUACUGUGCUUUUGGAGGAUUCAGAAGAAGUUAUAUCUGAUUGGGAGAUUGAAAAGGAUUGGCCUGAAGGAGAGGUGGUUUUUGAACUGCAUCUUAAAGGAUGAGGAAACUGAGGCUGAGAGGGUAGAGAACUUUGCCUGAGGUCACUCAGCAGGGACCCACCCAUCACAGUAAAUGCCAGCACUGCUGAUGCCAAAACAAUGUUAUUUGUGCCUGAACACCCUGUCCUACCUGGUCCUACCUGGAUGCUGGCCUCAGUAAGCUCCUGGGCUCAUUGAAGAUGAACCUAGCAGUAGUAUUUACACCACUUGUUGUGUGCCCACUGUGGGCCCGGCGCCAUGCCGAGUGCUCUAUGGAUGUGAGAUGAGAACACUGAAGCAGUUUUUUCUAAAGAUAGCUGCCUGGCACAGUGGCUCACAUCUGUAGUCCCAGCAUUUGGGGAGGCCAAGGCAGGUGGAUCACUUGAGGCCAGGAAUUCAAGACCAGCAUGGCCAACAUGUGCUGGGAGAGAAAAGCAUACGACAUAGACAGGGAGGUCAAGCUCCACCACGCAGAUGAGGUGCAGGCCACCAGUCUUCCUCUGCCACAUCUCUUUCUGAAAAGGCAGCCUGUGCUGAGAAACCAUGACUGAGUAAGCCAAGCUUUGUUGGCCGCACCUGCCAAGCCACAGGGUGCCUCAGGCUUGGAGCAUCCCGGAGCCAGUUACAACCCAAGACUUCAGCCUUCUGGAAGGUGUUGGGUCAGCCACCCUGAAGGACGAUCCUGCCCAAGUGACAUGCUUUGCUCUUCCUUCUCACCCAGGACUUCACAUUCACCCUUGCAAUCCAUGUGGGGACACUGUUGGAUAGGAGGCGUGGUCCCAGCGUGGUCUCCCUGUCUGGGCCUCUGCCUAUGCCAAAUGUUUGCCUUACGCUGCACACUCAAGAGGUUCCAUGUAUACAGAUGGGAAUUCCAGAGCUACAGAAAAGGCAGCAAGCACCAUGAUUUAAGCUAACCAGUGUGGAUUCACACCUUCCUCUCUCUCUAUCAGUGGCAGAACUACCAGCUAGAGUAAGAAGUGGUUGAUCCAGGACCUAAACAUUCUGGAAACUCUUGCCCACUUCUGGGAGAAAUGACCCAAUCCAUAGUACUAAGCACACCUUAACUUUCGUAGGACGCAGGCAAGUUGUCAUACCGUGUGCCUAAAUAUAGAAAAAUGAUCCACUGGACUAAUAAAGUGUUAAAUAAAAUAUGUCCUGACUG